GAACGCACAUUGCGCCCCCUGGUAUUCCGGGGGGCAUGUCUGUCCGAGCGUCAUUACAACCCUCAAGCUCUGCUUGGUGUUGGGCCCCGCCGCCCCGGCGGGCCCUAAAGUCAGUGGCGGUGCCAUCCGGCUCCGAGCGUAGUAAUUCUUCUCGCUCUGGAGGUCCGGUUGUGUGCUCGCCAUCAACCCCCAAUUUUUUUCAGGUUGACCUCGGAUCAGGUAGGGAUACCCGCUGAACUUAAG
RNAcentral lists this unclassified non-coding RNA (243 nucleotides) under Pseudogymnoascus appendiculatus. RNAcentral describes it as "sequence contains 5.8S rRNA gene". The stretch from base 1 to 53 matches the Rfam family "5.8S ribosomal RNA", at positions 102 to 154 of the family's 154-position model. Lineage: Eukaryota; Fungi; Ascomycota; Leotiomycetes; Thelebolales; Thelebolaceae. The record is from RNAcentral.